AGAUAGCGCCUACCGGGAGGGCAGCAGUGGGGAAGUAUUGCACAAUGGGCGGCAAGCCUGAUGCAGCGACGCCGCGUGCGGGAUGGAGGCCUUCGGGUUGUAAACCGCUUUUGUUCAAGGGCAAGGCAGGCUUCGGGCCUGUUGAGUGGAUUGUUCGAAUAAGCACCGGCUAACUACGUGCC
This 182-nucleotide ribosomal RNA is filed under the name uncultured bacterium. RNAcentral's name for it is "partial 16S ribosomal RNA". It matches the Rfam family "Bacterial small subunit ribosomal RNA", at positions 324 to 509 of the family's 1533-position model. The record is from RNAcentral.